This 490-nucleotide ribosomal RNA is filed under the name uncultured bacterium. RNAcentral describes it as "partial 16S ribosomal RNA". It matches the Rfam family "Bacterial small subunit ribosomal RNA", at positions 30 to 507 of the family's 1533-position model. The record is from RNAcentral.
AUUGAACGCUGGCGGCAGGCCUAACACAUGCAAGUCGAACGGUAACAGGAAGAAGCUUGCUUCUUUGCUGACGAGUGGCGGACGGGUGAGUAAUGUCUGGGAAACUGCCUGAUGGAGGGGGAUAACUACUGGAAACGGUAGCUAAUACCGCAUAACGUCGCAAGACCAAAAAGGGGGACCUUCGGGCCUCUUGCCAUCGGAUGUGCCCCGAUGGGAUUAGCUAGUAGGUGGGGUAACGGCUCACCUAGGCGACGAUCCCUAGCUGGUCUGAGAGGAUGACCAGCCACACUGGAACUGAGACACGGUCCAGACUCCUACGGGAGGCAGCAGUGGGGAAUAUUGCACAAUGGGCGCAAGCCUGAUGCAGCCAUGCCGCGUGUAUGAAGAAGGCCUUCGGGUUGUAAAGUACUUUCAGCGGGGAGGAAGGGAGUAAAGUUAAUACCUUUGCUCAUUGACGUUACCCGCAGAAGAAGCACCGGCUAACUCCGUG